Molecule: ribosomal RNA, 253 nt
Filed under: uncultured bacterium
Lineage: Bacteria
Description: partial 16S ribosomal RNA
Rfam family: Bacterial small subunit ribosomal RNA
Source: RNAcentral
UACAGAGGUCCCAAGCGUUGUUCGGAUUCACUGGGCGUAAAGGGUGCGUAGGUGGUCGGGUAAGUUUGAUGUGAAAGCUCCGAGCUCAACUCGGAAAUGGCAUUGAAUACUAUUCGGCUAGAGGGUUGGAGGGGGGACUGGAAUUCUCGGUGUAGCAGUGAAAUGCGUAGAUAUCGAGAGGAACACCAGUGGCGAAGGCGAGUCCCUGGACAACUCCUGACACUGAGGCACGAAAGCUAGGGGAGCAAACAGG